This 471-nucleotide ribosomal RNA is filed under the name uncultured bacterium. RNAcentral describes it as "bacterial SSU rRNA". It matches the Rfam family "Bacterial small subunit ribosomal RNA", at positions 52 to 507 of the family's 1533-position model. The record is from RNAcentral.
CACAUGCAAGGUCGAGGGGCAGGCGGGGUUNUAGCUUGCUAUACUGCCGGCGACCGGCGCACGGGUGAGUAACACGUAUGCAACCUGCCCGUUGCGAGGGGGAUAAGCGGAAGAAAUUCCGUCUAAUACCGCGUAAUAUUACUUUAGGGGGCAUCCUUUUAGUAUUAAAGAUUUAUCGGCAACGGAUGGGCAUGCGGCGCAUUAGCUAGUUGGUGAGGUAACGGCUCACCAAGGCAACGAUGCGUAGGGGUUCUGAGAGGAAGGUCCCCCCACACUGGUACUGAGACACGGACCAGACUCCUACGGGAGGCAGCAGUGAGGAAUAUUGGUCAAUGGGCGAGAGCCUGAACCAGCCAAGUAGCGUGAAGGAUGACUGCCCUAUGGGUUGUAAACUUCUUUUGUUCGGGAAUAAAGUGCAGUACGUGUACUGUUUUGUAUGUACCGUUCGAAUAAGCAUCGGCUAAUUCCGUG